UACGUAGGUGGCAAGCGUUGUCCGGAUUUACUGGGCGUAAAGGGCGUGCAGGCGGUCUGUUAAGUGCAGGGUGAAAGCUCCCGGCUCAACUGGGAGAGGUCCUUGCAUACUGGCGGACUUGAGGGGGGUAGAGGAAAGUGGAAUUCCCGGUGUAGUGGUGAUAUGCGUAGAUAUCGGGAGGAACACCUGUGGCGAAGGCGGCCUGCUGGGCUGUUGCUGACGCUGAGGCGCGACAGCGUGGGGAGCAAACAGG
This 253-nucleotide ribosomal RNA is filed under the name uncultured bacterium. Its description in RNAcentral is "partial 16S ribosomal RNA". It matches the Rfam family "Bacterial small subunit ribosomal RNA", at positions 524 to 776 of the family's 1533-position model. The record is from RNAcentral.